GUGCCAGCCGCCGCGGUAAUACAGAGGUCCCAAGCGUUGUUCGGAUUCACUGGGCGUAAAGGGUGCGUAGGUGGUGGGGUAAGUUUGAGGUGAAAGCUCCGGGCUCAACCCGGAAAUGGCCUUGAAGACUAUCCUGCUCGAGGGUUGGAGGGGGGACUGGAAUUCUCGGUGUAGCAGUGAAAUGCGUAGAUAUCGAGAGGAACACCAGUGGCGAAGGCGAGUCCCUGGACAACACCUGACACUGAGGCACGAAAGCUAGGGGAGCAAACGGGAUUAGAUACCCGGGUAGUCC
RNAcentral lists this ribosomal RNA (292 nucleotides) under uncultured bacterium. Its description in RNAcentral is "partial 16S ribosomal RNA". It matches the Rfam family "Bacterial small subunit ribosomal RNA", at positions 505 to 796 of the family's 1533-position model. The record is from RNAcentral.